UUUUUCUUUUGUGAAACAAGGAUGGCUCAGAUUUCUCCUCCUUACGUGUUUCCUGGUGAUACAGUACUGCAGUCUCUGCCUUACUCAGCUUAUGUCUAAUUGCAGAGCGUUUAGCAAAAGAAUUCAAAUGCAAGUUUUAGAUUUGGAGUUAACCAUCUAUUACACUCAGCUUUGUUAGAAGAUGUCAUCUGAACAUCAAAGAUAGGCCUGGGGUUUAAUUUCUCCUUAUUAGAUUGUGUGAAGGUGGGCUUGCAUCAGUCUGAAUCAAGAACUUGUGGCUUGGUAGAGUUUAGGGAAAAGGAAAUUUUCUUUCCACUGAAAAGCCAGGAUAUAUCUGUGUAUGUGUGACAUCUGUUGCAGCACUGCUUGUUGACAGUCUUCUGGGACAAGCUGGCCAGAAGGACUGGAUAUUGUGGGAAUUAAAGCUCGGUGUUCGUAUGGCAGCUUAACUGCUGAGUGCCCAUGUUCUGAAGGAAAAAUGUGAUUUACCUAAAAGAUCUUCUGGGGCUGGAUUUCUGGAGCUGUUGAAAAAAAUUCUUGACUGGUGGGAGUCCUGGUUUCCAGAUGCUUCCAAACACAAAGUCUCAUUGUCAAGAUGAAGGCUCUGACAAAAGAAGCCAGAUAUUAUUUCAUUAAUAUUUUAACCUUCCACAUCAGAAUUUUCAUACAACUAAAGCAAGGAUGACACUUGACUACCUUCCAGGAAUGGUAAGGGUUAACAUAAUGUAAUAUUCCUGCAAGGAAGACAUUGGUAAGUGACAUAGUUGUUAUGCUGUUAGUGGCCAUUUUGGAGCAAUUUUUCCUCAUUGUUCAGAUCCUACUGUAAUUCACUUCUUCCAGUGACCCUUUCAGUGUUAAUCCACCACACAGAAGCAUUGCAGUUUUAAUUAAAAAGGAAAUCUCUAUCUCACUAAGCUUAGUCUGCCAUCUGAUCAUGCAGUAUGGUUUACAGACAGUAUUAUCUGUCUAAUUUGCAUCAUAAAACCAUGACUUAAGCAAGGCAGAAGACAUUGGCAACCCCCAGGAAGUAAUGCAGCUCUAAUCAAAACCAGCCAUGUUUUAAGCAAAACUCGACUGUAAGAAUGGAGAUGUGUGUCUCACAUGGUGCUGCACACAAGGAGGGUUACAGGGGCACAGAGAGCUCAGUGGGAUACCUCUUUAAAAUAAAACCUGUAGACUGAGUUUGGAGCAGCUCCUGAAAAUAUAUGCUCCAGUUUGACAACAAGAUGGGAAUUUGAGGUGGGAUUUACUGCGUUAAAUUUUUUGGGUUCUGGUAAUGAAAGCUAGUAGUGCCUACUGACCUUUAAAACCUGUGAUCUUAAAUACUGGCAGUUGUUAUGUUCCUGUCUCUUGUAACUUCAUUAACUAAAUUGAGUGGUAAGCUGCAAGGCUAUGAACUGUCCUGAGGGCCUACACAUGACAAAAAUUCACACUGGGCUGGGUGGUAUCCCCAAAUCCCAUUCCAGCAGGUGAUCAGCAGAAGUCCACGACUGGGCAAAAAUCUCCUCAUAGUUGUUCUCACAUUUGGAUCGAGGUCAAGCAGCCGUCCCAGGGCAGAAAUGGCUCAAAGGAGAGCAGUAACACCAGCCUUGCUGCUCAGCUCCCAACUGCACCGGCACAUCAAGGGAGCAAACAUAACCUGGGAGUCCCUGAGUGACAACAGAGCCAUACAGAACUAUUUUUUGCAUUAUUGUCAGAUUUUUGAAACAUUGUGGGAGGAAAGCAGUGGGGGAAGGGAGAGAGAAAUUGGAUCUUGUAUUUCUUAUUAGCAGAGGAAGGAGGGAGGUAUGAGAUCGGUGUUACUCUGUGAGCUCUUUACCUCAGAGGAAGGUGAACCCCACCUGGCAGAAAUUAAAUGUUAAUGUAUCAAAUUAUGUCCAAAAGCACAUAAAGCUCAAGGGACACCUUAUGAUACCCCUUGAAAACAAGAUCUAAUUUAAUUCAUUUGCAUAUCCUGAUACCCAAUACUGCAAAUUGGCAUUGGUGUGUUAAUGCACUGCUACCAUUAGGCUCUCUUGAGCUUAUUGGAAAACCAUAGUCAACAAACUGCAGGCACUGAAUUGAAGUGUCUGGUCAGGGAAAACCAGAUCAAACUACAUCGUCUUAAUUGUGACCUGUUUUGGGAUGCAGAAGUGUGGCAGCAGCCCUUGGUGGAAAGAAACAAUAAAUUGAUUUUGCUGAGAACCUCAUCAAUCACUGGUCACAGUGACCCAUGGAUCAUUAAUCUCAUUAAAAACUUCAGCCUCGUGGCAAAAGUAAUAGCAGACACACUAAAAGCGUGCAAAUUAGAUAUGCUUUCACAAAUGUGAAUGGGUCUGCUGUCCCUGAGGAGAACUCCAUUCCUAAAUUGGGCAAACUUUUCACUGACUCCAGCUGAACUUCAGCCAUUUACUCUGUGUCAGAUGGCAUCUUCAGGAGCUGUGAAAGCUGUAUGGAAGGUGUGUGGCCUGUUAGUGAGUCAUGUUUAUGUACUCAGUUCAGAGAAGGGAGAGCUGAACAGGGGGCACAGGAUGCUUAAUGCUGUGACCUUGCCAGCCUCUCUCUGCUGCCUGCACUCUUCAGGUGAGGUGAUUCCAAAAGAGUCUGGGAAACUGCUCUGGUUCUGGCCCACAUCAGUGGGAGGAUAUGGCCAAGGCACUGUGUUAUUUGAUACAAUCUUAUGUCAUGGGCUGGGCAAAAGGACUCCCUGAGAAGGGACUUGUGAGAAGAAGGGGUGUGGUUUCCAGCUGGGAACAGGUGCGGCAGAUGGAGAAGUUGGGGUGGGGUGCCACUGGCUGUGGUUGUGUCAGCUUGGGCUCAAUGAGCAUCUUCCAUGUAAAUCACACUCUUUUUUUAGCACACUUUUGUUAUUAAUAUUGUUGCUGUUACUGUUCUUUUUCUUAUCCCAUUGCUGUUCCCAGUAAAUUGUUCUUAUUUCAACCCAUGAUUUUUCACAUAAUUCUCAACUUCAUCCCUGGAGCAGGGAGUGGGAGGGAAAAUGAGGGAGCAAGUGCUUGACAUCUUGUUUGGGUGUCUCGAGAGAGGCUGUGACAGGAACGUAUCAACAGUACGCAGGUAACACUGAUUUUCUGUGUGUCUGUGAGUCCAAAGAGUUUGCAUUUUCUUGGAGAAUGAUAUGUGUCAAAGAGUAUAGUCAGUUGGUCAUGUGGGUCCUUUCAAAUAGGGCAGAGCCUGUUGUAUCACUGCGAUGCAGGCUUUGCUGUUAUCUGUAGAACAGUAAGAGCAUGCAUGCAGCUGCCAAAACUGCUAACGUGCACAGUACAGCUGAAAAUUUGUACUUGCUCCUCUCAGACCUUGUGAACACAAUCCAUGACUCUGAGUGCAUCCGUGCAGGUCAGAUGGCACUUGGCCCUGGUCUCCAGUCAUCCGUGUGCAACCAUAUUGGCCCUGCUGAAGCAGGCUAAAUAGCUACCUCUGCUUAGAAAGUUAAGUGCAUUUGAGAGGGUUGUUCUCAGGGAUUUGCACACCCCAGACACCAUCUACACACCAGGACACAUUCACUUCCUCCUCUCAAGAAUGUUCUCCAGUGCCCCUAGACUUAUGUACACAAAUCUCACCCAGCUGUGCUCACCAGCCUCCCAGCUGGCCCAAAGACUUGGGGAGCUCUAUAUCAACCCUCUUAUUAUUUGGCUGCUUGGGAUUUUUACUGAACCCUGUGAAUAAAAAAAUCUAAAAGCUUUUUGGGUGCAAAAAGUGUUUCAGAGCUUCCAUAGUCAGCACUUCCAGGUUAUUUGCACAUCACAUAACUGAGGCUAUUUCAUGCUGUGGGUUUGGCCUGCAGCAGUAAGUACUUUGACUUCAAAUUCAUCCAAACAAAGGCUUUGCAUGUAGAGAGCUGUGAUGCCAGUGAUUAUGCUGGAGAAGCUUGGCUGACAUGCCUCCUUCUAUGAUGAAAUACACCAGCUCGGGACCCAUGUACCAUAACAGUAAGCUCUGUGUUGCACUGUCACCAAGGACUUGAGCAUCUUGCUGGGUCUGAGAGGUCUGGGACCUUAACAAGCCUUGCAACAGAUCAGAUUCUCUGAGGCCAUUCAUUCAUCCUUUCCAUCUCCACUGCCAUGCUCAGGACAAGUGGAGGGGCCCCAGGCAUGAAGCCAUGUUUCAGGCAUUGCCUGUGGCUCUGCAAUAGCAGUGUUUAAAACAUUACAACUUGAAGUCUGUGGAGGAGACUGAUGGAUGAAGGGAUGGAAGAACUGCCAUUGCUGCUGAUUGUCACUUUAAAUCCUUUGGGAAAGAGUCUUCUGGAAGUGAAUAGAAACUGAUCACCUUUCUCCAGACUUGAGUCAUCUCACAGAAUUUAACAGAAAAUAAUUAUUUUGCUUCAAAUUGAUAUAAUGUGGCUUAAAAUGCUUGAAGAUGAAAGAUGUGUUCAUUUACACAAUCUAAGUUAUCAGCUGGGAUAAAUUAACUCUCUGAAUCCUGUGCAAUUCUGUAUGUGUGCCAUCUCUAAAUAGGUAGAUUUUCACAUGUGUAUUUGCACUGCUUUAGUAGCUCCAUUUCUGGGGCUUUCACAAAAAGAUAACAACCAUUUUUACAUUUGCUUGAGGCCUGACUGAAGGGUUUAUCUCCAUGUAAACUUUCCAGCCCAGCUGUGAAACCUCUGAAAUGGAUGGUAAAGAAAGUUUUGAUGAAACUUAACUGUAGUUGGGUACUUCACUGCUGUAAGGGAAAAUCCCCCAGUUGCUGUCAGUGGGUGAGCAGCUGGGCUUGCAUCCCUCCAUUCUUCACUGUAAUCUUCAUUAACAUAAGAGUUGGUGUUUUGCUCCCCACACAUGGAUUCCAUACUGUUUGAGAUCCAGGAGGCUGCAGGGAUAAAGGCAUGUGUGCAGGCCUCUCUGCUGACCACAGCCAGCAUUUCUUUAGCAAGCAUAGCAUGAAUAUAAACGUUGCAUACACCACAAUGGAGAGGAAUUACUAUGCACACUAUCACUUUCAAGCCUUUGAAAGAAACAGAAGCAGAAGGAGGUUCUUGCACUUUCUGCCUACAUCAUCUUUACUGUCCAUCCAUUUGUUCCCCAUUUAGCCUCCCCACUGGCAAAGCCUCUAUUAUGUGCUCCAAGAGCAGACAAUGGGAGCCCACUAUGGCUGGCAAUGCCUGCAUUGUUCCACGGGCUCCCUAUAGAAAUCCCUGUGUUCGCAUGACCCCUUUUCCAAAACUUGGGGUUUUUAUUUCCCUAAGGGGGAGGGUGAGAGGAAAAGGACAGUGUCUCACAGCUCUGUGCAGAUUAGUGGUACGUUCAUGCCCAUAUAUUGAAAUGGAUAAAAUAGCCAUAAAUUUUUCCCAAAGUGCUUUUUUGUAAUGCAUGCAUGAACUCACUUAACAAGCUUAAAAUAUUUAGUGAACAUUGAAAUGAAUGGAGAGUGUGGGAGGGGGGGACAAAACUAGCAGAGAUAAUGGAAUACACUUAGCAGUCAUAGCAGCUUUACAUAGCUGUAUCAUAUUCUCUAUGGAUAACACAGCUGGGACAUUAUGGUUAGAGUUUUAAAAUAUCUAGGGAUUUCUGUCUUAAGAUAGUUAUCAAUAAUUGCAAACUUAAACAUUAAAUAUUUUUGGCUUUGUUAAGAUAUAUACCUCUUUAUUUAAUGCAAGAUAAAAUAUCGUGAAAUAGAGAACAUUCUUCCCUUGGCAUUUCUUCAGGACUCGGGUAAGCAGGAAGGAUCUCUGAGUGGGGAUCUAAAGUCUGUCUUGGGGAAACCACAGGCUGCCAAAGACAGGUGAAUGAAAGCACAGAAGUCCCUCAGACUUGACAGUGUUUGAAAUGCCAAAUGAGAACAAGGAGAUGGGUUGCUAUAACACAGGUUCAUACCACCUGUGAAACUGGCGAAGUCCUUCAGCACUGCAGAAAAUCUUGCCAGAUUAAAUCAUAAAUUGCUGCUUCAUUCCAACUGAGCCAAAAUUUGCACUCUUGCCCUAGUUCUGACUGGGACUAGGACCUCAAACCCACAGACUGCAGCAACACAUCCAUCAGCUCACACCUAAUUAACUGCUUAAUUAGAGCAGCACUGGGGAAAGUCUGCUCUUUGUUUUUCCUUUCUCUCUGGUGCCUGAAUGCCACUUGUAGCACCACAAAGCUCUUUGAGUGGCUGAGCCUUCCUGGUCACACAUAGUUCAAGGUGAAGGUCUCUUCUGCUGGGCUUUUCCUCUCUCUUCUGAGAUAAUUGACCUUGAUGUCACCAUGAAGCUCCUCCCCAGGUCACACCACUCGCACUGAGCCAGUGCCUCAGCUAGAGCUGGAGACUAAUACACGCCUGUUUAAUUUGAAAGAGCAAAAUGAAGGUCACUGAGGAAGAUUUUGUAUUCCACAACCAGCCUGUGGAGCAAGAUGUGUGCUGUCAUCCUGCUCACUCUGACGCAGCCCCUGCUCCAGUAAUCCCACAGGACCUCACAACAGCAGGAUAGAUUUUCAUCUGAAGUUCGGUGUCUUCAAAAUAAAUCUGAGAUAAAGUCAUCAACAGAAUGAGCAAAUGGAGCAUUGAGGAGUAAAUAUGAGGACCAGUGGGGGUUUGACUCUUCCUUGUCAUUAUAUCACCAAAAAGAACUAUUGUAACCAGCAAAAUUAAUUCAAGACUUCUUUUCCACCUAAACCAACAAUUCGGAGGGUGACUUUAAAUUCAUCUUUCAGAGCAGAAACUCACAAGUGGCAGCAGAUUCAGGAUGAAUUUAAAAUGCUGGUUUGAGAAACUUGAGCUCUAUGGCAGAAAAGUUGAGCUCCAAAAUGGUGAAGUGCCCAAAAUAUGGACUCUUAUGAUUUUAUUAAAUAAGACUGACAUUCUUUAGCAUGUGUUUAAAAUUCUCUGGAUCAAGGCUGUCGUGGAUGGGCAAUAUAGUAAACUACAGUUAUUUAGGUGACCUUUCUCCUCCUUAACCUUCUCCUCUUUUUGAGCACCUUGUAGCUAACUGUGCCCAGUCUGGGAUCUGCCUUGUGGAUGGCAGAGCUCUGAGAAACACAAAGUGUAGGCACUGUGUGGAAAUCAACCAGACUACCGAGCUCAGAUGAUUUAUAAAUGUUAGCUUUUGGUGUCCUUUUUAUAAAAAAUUGAAAGAAAAAAUAUAACAGAAAAAUUCCUUUAAAAACAACCGGAUCCUUUUGGAGCAUGACAAACAAAAAAUGUAGCAUUAAUUAAUCCCAUGAAAAUUUCCCUUUGGCAAUGCCUUCCUGUAAGUAAAACACAGUCCCCUAAAACUGCAUUCCAGAAGGAAAAGGUUCUCAGAUGGCCACUGAGAUAACAUGAGAAAAUUAUUUUUGGACACAUUUGCAGCCGAAGCCCCUCAGAGGAGCUGCUUUGAUAACUGGACACUUCCAGUGUGGAAGGAGGAAAAAAAUCUGGUUUUCCCCAUGCCAGCCCCAGCCACUCUGAGCCUACACCCACCGCUAAACCUGGGCCCAUUUCUAGGCUGGUGUGAGAUGUUCCCACAGCUCUGCUGGGGGCUGUAUUUCACUCUCUGCCUUCUGUAGGGAUGAACACAUCAGAAAGGGGGAAGUGAGCCCCAUGCAUCUCUCAAGGAUGAAUGGGACAUGGAGCUGAGGUGGAAAAGAUAAUAGAAAACUGCUCAGAAAUCAAGAAGAGUUCUGCAUUUUAUGAACUUGAUUCAUGAAAUUACCCCCAGAUUUUAUUUUUUGCUCAAAAAGGGGCUUCUUCCUGACAAGAAAAUUAUCUGUUUGAAGUUUAAAUUACUUGGAGAUUAAAUUAAAAAUUAGAUUUCUGGAUUUUAAAAUUUCAUUUUAAUUAAGUGUUGCAGCCCUUUGGAAUUCAAAGAAACUGAAACUCUCCUAAGACAAAUGGCAGACACAAUAUUUGAAAUUUGAUUACAAUUUUUUCCUUAAUUUUAUCCAAUUAUAUUAAGAGGUCUUUGAGCUACAAAGCAUUAAAAAGCACUACUGAGGCCAGAGACAUGCUAGUGAAAUAUUGUUUCUGUCAUGUGGAGCUCUGUACAGAAUUGUGUGGGCUUAAAUAAAUGUAUCUUGAUAGUUUACCUUAAAACUCUCUGUCCUUUUCCUCAGUUCAGCUGAAUCCUAUGAAAUAGAUACGCAGCUUGAAGAAGUUCUUCACACCCCCACAAACGCUAAAAAUGGCCCUGAUACAACAUGUAUUUAUGUAACAAAAUCAUCUGCAUUAAUAUCUUCCUUUCCUUUCUGCAAGAAGCACAGGAGGGACCCAGGCUGACACAUUUUCCUGCAGCCCCUUCCAGUUUUCUCCUUGCAUUUGGGGCAGCAGGGCUGAGCUGUGUUUUCCCUUUAAAAAAGGCCACUGAAUGAACAAGAAUUUGAUGUGGCUAUUAAUAGGGUCAGCUGCAGACCUGCAGCCCAGGCUUUUGGGUUCUCUCCCCUUGAAUAUUCAGUAUCCUGUUACGGAUUGAAACUAUGUGAUAACAAGAGUUCUGGUCACUGCUUUUAUCCUGAUCUUUUAAAAUAAAGAGGGUAUUAAAACAAAUAUAUUUCUUCCAGUUUUCUGAAAAGACAAGAGACUGGCUGAUGGGAUCAAGUGUGAUGUAUUGAGCUGUUAACUUCUUCUUCAUAUCUGACAGAAUGAAGAGAAAAAUGGCCCCACCUGGCAACUGUUUGCUGCCCCCAUUUGUCACCAUCAAGAUCAGGUGGCUGUGUGCUCUCUAGAUCACAAUGAAGCCCCAGCACCUGGGCAGGUGUGCAGCUUGAGGAGAGGGCUCAGGUGCUGUGGAAACAAAGCCAGGGGCUCUGUGUUGGUCUCCCAGGGCUGCCUGCUGGCUUGGGAUGAAGAGAAGGAAGAUUGUAUUGUAGCUACUGCUGCUGCCAAUAGGGUCAGAGAAAGUCUUGGUAACCCUGCCAUGUUUAGCAUCACAAAGUACCUGGGAAAAUCAACAGCCAACAAGCCUCCUCAUUUUUCAUACGGAGACUUCUGCCCCAGCUCUGCUGCUCCUCUCUGGAUAAUGAGAGCUGGAAGUGCCCAGCCCUUCCUCACACCACGGCUCACCAGGAUGGCUCCCAGCACAAGCUGGCUCCUUGGAGGGCAGUGCUACUGCCACAGGGCUGUCCUGAAGAGUGACCAGAAUGACCUCCUAAGUCUGCUAAACCAGCACUCACUGUCCCAACCUGCUGCCUGCUGUGGAAAUAAAUCCCGAGCAGCAGUGAAAAUCAAACCAAUAUUCUCAGCAGCAGCUGUAAACUCGAUAAGCUCUCUGUCCUCCUUUCUCUCCCCCUGCCCUGUCCCUCCCUUUGGAGUUGAAAUGAAGGCAGAGACAUGCUGAGAGAAGCAGUGCAGUGCUCUGUUUGCAGGAUAAUAUGCAGACCACA
Long non-coding RNA from Passer domesticus (house sparrow), 9269 nucleotides. RefSeq lists it as uncharacterized. Lineage: Eukaryota; Metazoa; Chordata; Aves; Passeriformes; Passeridae. The transcript is spliced from 4 exons. The record is from RefSeq and is a predicted model, not a curated record.